This 69-nucleotide transfer RNA is filed under the name Apaloderma vittatum (bar-tailed trogon). It matches the Rfam family "tRNA". From Rfam's summary of the family: Transfer RNA (tRNA) molecules are approximately 80 nucleotides in length. Their secondary structure includes four short double-helical elements and three loops (D, anti-codon, and T loops). The record is from Rfam by way of RNAcentral. Lineage: Eukaryota; Metazoa; Chordata; Aves; Trogoniformes; Trogonidae.
GGUCAGUUAGCUCAGUUGAGUGUGGCACUAACAAUGCCAGCCUCGCGGGUUCAAUUCCUGUUCGGUCCC